AGAGUUUGAUCCUGGCUCAGAACGAACGCUGGCGGCGUGGCUAAGACAUGCAAGUCAAACGGACCGUUAAUUUAUUAAUGGUUAGUGGCGAAAGGGUUAGUAAUGGAUAGGUAACGUAUCUUUUGCAUCGGGAUAGCGUCAUCACGACUUCGGUCGUGAUUUCCGAAAGGGGCGGUAAUACCGGAUAAUAUCACUUUUCGAUAGAAUAGUGAUCAAAGAUUUAUCGGCAAAUGAGCGGCCUAUCUCCUAUCAGCUUGUUGGUGAGGUAACGGCCCACCAAGGCAUUGACGGGUAGCGGGACUGAGAGGUUGGCCCGCAACAUCGGGACUGAGACACUGCCCGGACCUCCACGGAGGGCUGCAGUAACGAGUAUUGCGCAAUGGGCGAAAGCCUGACGCAGCGACGCCGCGUGCGGGAUGAAGUCCUUCGGGAUGUAAACCGCUGUCAGGGGUAUGAAAGUCCGGCUCCGGCCGGAUUGAUCUAACCCAAAGGAAGUCACGGCUAACUUCGUGCCAGCAGCCGCGGUAAGACGAAGGUGGCUAGCGUUGUUCGGUGUCACUGGGCUUAAAGCGUGUGUAGGCGGAAGAGUAAGCGUCUUGUGAAAUCCCCCGGCUUAACCGGGGAAUUGCUCGGCGAACUGCUUUUCUUGAGGCAAGUAGGGGUGCAUGGAACUCUUGGUGGAGCGGUGGAAUGCGUAGAUAUCAAGAGGAACGCCAGUGGUGAAAACGGUGCACUGGGCUUGUCCUGACGCUGAGACACGAAAGCGUGGGUAGCGAACGGGAUUAGAUACCCCGGUAGUCCACGCCGUAAACGACGUCUACUAGGUUGCGGGAGUUCUGACACUUUCGCGGCCGAAGCAAAAGUGGUAAGUAGACCGCCUGGGGAGUACGGUCGCAAGGCUAAAACUCAAAGGAAUUGACGGGGGCUCACACAAGCGGUGGAGCAUGUGGAUUAAUUCGAAGCAACGCGCAGAACCUUACCUGGGUUUGACAUGCUUGGAUACUUGCCUGGAAACAGGUUAAGUUGCCCUUCGGGGUGAAACUUGCACAGGUGCUGCAUGGCUGUCGUCAGCUCGUGUCGUGAGAUGUCGGGUUAAGUCCUUUAACGAGCGAAACCCUUGCCGUUAGUUGCCAGCGGGUCAUGCCGGGAACUCUAGCGGGACUGCCGGUGUUAAACCGGAGGAAGGUGGGGACGACGUCAAGUCAUCAUGGCCUUUAUGCCCAGGGCCUCACACGUGCUACAAUGGCGACUACAGAGCGACGCAAUACCGCGAGGUGGAGCAAAUCGCAAAAAAGUCGCCCCAGUUCGGAUUGUAGGCUGGCAACUCGCCUGCAUGAAGUUGGAAUCGCUAGUAAUCGCGUAUCAGCUAUGACGCGGUGAAUGUGUUCCUGAGCCUUGUACACACCGCCCGUCAAGUCACGGAAGUUGGGAGUACCCGAAGUCGGGCUGCUAACCUUUUAGGAAGCGCCUGCCUACGGUAAGCCCGAUGACUGGGACUAAGUCGUAACAAGGUA
This 1514-nucleotide ribosomal RNA is filed under the name metagenome. RNAcentral describes it as "bacterial SSU rRNA". It matches the Rfam family "Bacterial small subunit ribosomal RNA". The record is from RNAcentral.